Molecule: small nucleolar RNA, 130 nt
Organism: Pimephales promelas (fathead minnow)
Lineage: Eukaryota; Metazoa; Chordata; Actinopteri; Cypriniformes; Leuciscidae
Product: small nucleolar RNA SNORA3/SNORA45 family
Source: RefSeq, a predicted model, not a curated record
AGCGAGACUAGAGUCACAUCCUGAUAUUGUUCAUUGUCCUGGUGUGCUAUAGUACUCGCAUAGUAACUCUCUGCUUAUUCAUUGGCUGCUGCUUUCCACUGCCCAGCCAAUCACCAGCUCAGAAACAUGC